Molecule: long non-coding RNA, 1186 nt
Organism: Canis lupus familiaris (dog)
Lineage: Eukaryota; Metazoa; Chordata; Mammalia; Carnivora; Canidae
Exons: 3
Source: RefSeq, a predicted model, not a curated record
UUUCAGCUGGAGGUUACUGGAAAUCAAGAUGUACCUUCCUUCCCCAGUGCAAGUUCAUGGGUCCCUGAACUGCCCUGUGGGGCCCUGGUGCCGUGUGACGAGGUCUCUCCAAAAUAGUCUAGGUGCCCAGGAGCCCAGACAUGGUCGCAGCCCUGCCACUUAGGGUCAUCAGGAGCAUUGCAGGAGAGGAGUCCGGCACCGCAGUACAUGCUCCGUGGUCGCUAGCCAGUUUGGUCGACGGCCUGGUGUCUUCAUUCUGCUUUCCUGGUCUGAUCCUGUCUCGCUCACAGGCCUGUGCUGAGCCCACAGUUAUUUCUGGAGCACCUGCUAGUUGCCAGACAUAGGGCACCAGGGGAUACACCGGAAAACCAGACAGACAACAAAAGCCUUGCUAUCGUGGAGCUGAUGGUUUAGCAGAGGAGAUGGAUAACAGACACAUAAAGAAGAUAAUUUCAAAUGGGAAAAGUACUAGGAUGGAAACAAAGCAGGGUGUGGUGAUGGAGUGUGAUUUCAGGGGCCCCUUAGGACAGGGCAGUCCAGGAAGUCCUCCCUGACGAAGUGAUAUGUGAGGAGUCAGCAGAGAAAGCAGCUCGUCUGGGGCAGAUAUGGGGAAAGUGCUCCAGGUAAAGUGAGAGGCAAGUGCAAAGGCCCUGGGGACAGAGCAAGUGAGACAGUGAGAGAAGGUGUUGCUGGAAUUCAGUGAACCAGAGAGAGCCUGGUGGGGCUGAGGGGGCUGGGUGUGAAGCAUGCAGCACCGUGCAGGUCACAGAUGGAGAUCCUCUCGGUUCCUUGAGUCACCUGCUCCAAGGAAGCUUCCCUGACGACCCUAGCUAGACUAGCCCAUUUUCGUUCUUCCUCUCAUUGCUAUGUGGCACCACAGUCUCCGUGUACUGAGCGUAUGGGAUAUAUUGUCUUUCUUUCUCCAUAAUUACAAGGUCAGCUGGGCAGAGGGACCCAGAGUCACCUAUUGGCUGCCAUGUGGCACGGAAAAUGUGACCACAGGGACCCAGGCCUGGGUGCCGUCGACGGACGGCAGGGAAAAUAGGUCCUGUGUUUUGUGGAUUGUGGCUUUGCCUCGAUUUUGGUCUCACAAGCCAACUCUGGAACCCAAGCCUUAAAUACAACGAGAUUCUCCCAAAAUGAUGUUAAUAAUCGUGGUUGACUUUCAUUGGAUGCUUGCUGUCUG